GACUUGUGUGUGCUUGCAAUUAGCGGUCAGUUCCCAAAAGGGUUCUCCGACAUGCGUUGCAGGUGCCGUCAAACCUUCAACUGAAUCGUACCUGGACUUCAUUGUCUGGGCGCUGUUCAUUCGGUUGAUCGUUUACUGUGAGAAAAUUAGAGUGUUCAAGGCAGGCAUUAUUGCAAUUGAAUAUGUUAGCAUGGAAUAAUAAGAUAGGGCUUUCGCUUUAUUUUGUUGGUUUCUAGAGUGGAAGUAAUGAUUGAUAGGGACAGUUGGGGGUGCUAGUAUUCAGCGGCCAGAGGUGAAAUUCAUGGAUUCGCUGAAGACUAACUUAUGCGAAAGCAUU
This 337-nucleotide ribosomal RNA is filed under the name uncultured Spongospora. Its description in RNAcentral is "SSU rRNA". It matches the Rfam family "Eukaryotic small subunit ribosomal RNA", at positions 626 to 955 of the family's 1831-position model. The record is from RNAcentral. Lineage: Eukaryota; Endomyxa; Phytomyxea; Plasmodiophorida; Plasmodiophoridae.